Molecule: long non-coding RNA, 220 nt
Filed under: Phoenix dactylifera (date palm)
Lineage: Eukaryota; Viridiplantae; Streptophyta; Magnoliopsida; Arecales; Arecaceae
Description: long non-coding RNA (PDAC_LNC017339)
Source: RNAcentral
CAAUAUUAGUAUACUUUGAAGAUAAGAAAUGAUAUGUUUCGGAUGCGUAUCGGAGCAAUCAACCAAGGCAUCAAAAUUAAUUCUGUUUUUCUUAAAUUAAGAUUUUAUUUAGAAAUCAUAUGGAGUUUAAGCUUUUAUACAAAAUCAGAUUCUGAAUUACAUAGGAUUUUCAAUAGAGGCUUUCAAAAUCAUAUUUUGAGAUAUGUAUCUUCCACAUUAU